ACUGGACCAUCCUAUGGAAGAAGAAUGAUGACUGGCUACCUGUCCUCCAAAGGUAUCGGAGCAUCUGAGGGGCGCGUUGGUAGUGUCCUCAGACAUAUUAACAGGCCAUAUCAUGCAGAUCGUCAUCAGAGAUCAAGGAACUUAAAUCCAGUGCCAUACAGUGCCGAGUGCAUGGGUCACAAACUGCACUUAGAUCAAAAUGAAAAAAUGGUGAUGUUCGGGGUGACCCAUGUCCUUGCUGUUGACGGUUUCUCCAGUAAAAUUGUCAGCCAUUCCACUAUGCCUGUCAAAAAUAACCUGACCAUAUAUCAAGACGUGUACAGAAGUGCUGUCCUAUAGCACGGAAUGUGGGACCAAAUACGAGUGGACCACGGAAGAGAGUUUUUCUUAACUCUUUUCAUGCAGGAGAAAUUGGCAGGCUACAGAAAUAACACAGCAAGGGAGCCGUACCUGCAAACAUGGCUUAUUGUCCUCUUUCCCUUAAUCACUCAGCUGCUAGCUGAUAAUAUUGAUUUCUCUGUCAGCACAAUGGUAUGGUCAGAGCCCAGUAAGAAUAGUAUCGUUGCUGCAGCUGAUAGGGAUCUGAGUAAAUUCAAGUAAACUGUUCUUCUCUGAAAGACUGCUUGCUAUUUCCUCACCAGUCAAAGAUAUGCAUUAUUUGUCUAGCUGAUGCCACAAUAACUGUACAAAUACAAAUGCAUGAAAAAUCACCUAACUAAUUGGGUUCUUGAUUAUUGUUGUCAUAGAAAAAUGAUUUUUUUUCGAUGAUUACGAUAAGCUGCAGAUUGUUAUUGUCAUUAUUGAAAUUAAAUGUAACAUUUUGUUUUUACUCUUUUGAAAUUACAGAAUCAUAUCGUUGAAAGGAUGUGGCCAGAUGUUAAUAACAGGGUAAACUACCCUCUGAAAAGGGCUCUCAUCCACCUUGUAGACCAGGAGGAACUCAACAUGGAGGACAACUUGACAUGGUAUUGUGUGUCCACGCUUACCUGUCAGGUGGCUCAGAUUGGACUUGACCGGAUGGUGCAGUCCUGGAAUGCACACAGGAUCCAAGGCAAGGGCAUCCCAGAUCAACUGGCUCUGGGUGGAUGCCCAAAGAAGGCGCCAGCAGAUUGUCUGCCAGAGGCUGCAGGAGCUGCACACACUUACCUGCAGGAAGUGGGGUCCUCUUUGACACAAGUGUCAAUGUUUGGGAGAAACCCAUUCUCCACAGCUGAAAACCAGACAGUAGCUGAACAUGAAUUUGCACAGCAGUACAGCGACGUUUCGGAAUUCUAUAACCGCACCGUCAACUAUGAACCAACCCAUUUCCAAAAUGGAAUUAGGGAUCUUAUUGACAUUGUGAGAAGACAUGUGUAGCCUGAUCUGUCAGAUCGCAGAAGCCAUGCAGGGUCUGGCCUGGAGCUUUUUUUUUAUGUUCUAAUGUUGCGUUGUUAAUGUGUUAGACGGCUUAGAUGUUUUGUUAACCUGAUUAGUCUCUGUUCAAAUGAAAGUGUAAAAAAAAAAAAACGUCAAAUUUGUAAAUCCCCCAUACCGUUUAACUAUAAGACUUCUAUAAGAAUCUCCUCUUUGCAACAAUUCACGUAGUCAGUCAAUGAUCAAACUAGUAGCAUGAAUAUGAAUUACUGUCCGAGCUGGUUAGGCGAGGCAAGGCAGUUUUAUUUGUAUAGCCCGUUUUUACAAACAGUUUGUCUCAAAGGGCUUUACAUAGCAUGAGCAUCAUAAUAACAGCCUCUUCCCUUAAAACAUUGCAUCCACUGAGUAAAAACACCAUCGCAUCCACUGAGUAAAAACUCCCAGGAAAACCCGGGAAAAACGGGAAAAAUUGCAGUUGGUGCAGAGGGAUGGAGCUGUGGAGAAUCUGUGGAAGCACAGAGACUGCGAGACGCCACGGCCAAACUACAAGGUAAGAAAGGUGAGGCAGCGGGGGGGGGGGGGGGGGGGGGGGGGCUUAAAUUUAGUUAAGAGUGUGUGCCUCUGACCCAUGAAGAGAGCUGGUUCCAAAGUAAAGGAGCCCAGUAACAUCAAGGCUCUACUUCCCAGUCUGUGAGAUACUGGGAGUCACUAACAGACCUGCAUUCUGGGAGCCAAUAAAAACAUAAGGGAUAAGUCUCUGAAUGACUCAUUAUUGUGCAUUUAAAGAUGUAUAUUAUUACAUUGCAGCAUUAUUUGUGUUUUGUCCUGGAAUGACAAUACAAGCAUGAAUGUGCAUUUCAGAGAGAGUUUGCUGUGUAUUCCACCUGGCAUGUUAUGAGCAAAUUUAUAUAGGCUACUAAAGAUCCAUUUCAAAACAUGUUCCAAGUAGGCCAUAGGCCAAAGCAUAAUAUAUCCUGGAAUGAGUGAAGCUUGCCUGCUGAAAUGUUAAAAUGACUGUCACAACUACCAUGAGCAAAGAGAAAAAACAUUUGUUUAUAGUGUAGGCUACAGUAGCCUAUUCCUCAUAGCUCUCAGGCUGUGAGGAAAUCAACAUCCCGCGAUCGCAGCUCCUGUCAUGUGAACGCGCACAGAGCGCAAAGCUCAGAGCCGGACAAUGACCACCGUCGUCAUACCAUACUCUGACGGGGGCUUUAGGUUUUGUUGAGCCGAAUUAUGAACACAGAGCCUGGAAAUGUUGAGCCUCCGUCAUAGUAAAGCCCUCAGGUCUACUCUGCAUGUAUUAACUGUGGCUUUACAUCAACUGCACUGAAGUCAUCAUAACUUCAUAAGUUCUCAUUUUCAAAUUAUUAUGAAUACUAUUAUUGUUAUUUGAAGCCCUGUCAGUCUUGACUGUGGGUGGUGUGGUCCUCUGUGUCUGCUAGUGUCUAUAAUACAGUAAUAUUUUUGUCGACAUUAUCAAACGGAAGAACUUUUAUUAUGAAGAGCACAGGGCAAUGAAGCACGCUAGCCAAUAAGAGGACCCGCCCACCGGCGGAAACCAGAUAUUGAGUGGUAAACUCGUUUCGCUUAGUAAGAACCAAAAAACGAAUAAACGAACUGAAAUUUUGAUUUUCGUUUUCUUGUCAAAACGAAAAAACGAAAAAACGGCUUGUUUUCUGGUUUCUGCUCGCGUCAAUUAUUCCCAAAAAACAGAGUAGUAAAACGUACCUUGCUCGUGAAUGAGCAAGGUACGUUUUAUUACUCUGUUUUCUGGGAAUAAUUGACAGAAGCAGAAAGCAAAAACCAGCCGUUUUUUCGUUUUUUCGUUUUGUCCAAAAAAACGAAAAUCAAAAUUUAAGUUCGUUUAUUCGUUUUUUGGUUCUUCUUACCAAAACGAGUUUACCACUCAAUAUCUGGUUUCCGCCGGUGGGCGGGUCCUCUUGUUGGCUAGCGUGCUUCAUUGCCCUGUGCUCUUCAUAAUAAAAGUUCUUCCUUUUGAUAAUGUCGACAAAAAUAUUACUUUAUCAUAGACACUAGCAGACACAGAGGACCACACCACCCACAGUCAAG
Molecule: long non-coding RNA, 3423 nt
Filed under: Gadus morhua (Atlantic cod)
Lineage: Eukaryota; Metazoa; Chordata; Actinopteri; Gadiformes; Gadidae
Description: lncRNA (ENSGMOG00000029959.1)
Source: RNAcentral